GUGGACAUUCGGUCCUGAGUAGAGCGGCGGACGGGUGAGUAACACGUGGGUAAUCUACCCUCGGGUGGGGAAUAACUCAGGGAAACCUGGGCUAAUUCCGCAUGAUAUUCCGGUGCAUACGUACUGGUAAUCAAAGUUGGGGACCCUUCGGGGCCUGACGCCUGGGGAGGAGCCCGCGGCCAAUUAGCUUGAUGGCGAGGUAAAGGCUCACCAUGGCUUCGAUUGGUAGCCGGCCUGAGAGGGCGGACGGUCACACUGGGACUGAGACACGGCCCAGACUCCUACGGGAGGCAGCAGUGGGGAAUUUUUGUCAAUGGGGGAAACCCUGAACAAGCAACGCCGCGUGAAGGACGAAGACCUUCGGGUUGUAAACUUCUGUCGGAGGGGACGAAGGCAUCAUUGGUUAAUACCCAGUGGUGUUGACGGUACCCUACGAGGAAGCCCCGGCUAACUCCGUGCCAGCAGCCGCGGUAACACGGGGGGGGCAAGCGUUGUUCGGAAUUACUGGGCGUAAAGGGCGCGCAGGCGGGCGAGACAGUCUUUCGUGAAAUCCCACGGCUCAACCGUGGAACUGCGGGAGAUACUUCUCGUCUUGAGUCCGGGAGAGGAGUGUGGAAUUCCCAGUGUAGCGGUGAAAUGCGUAGAUAUUG
This 650-nucleotide ribosomal RNA is filed under the name uncultured bacterium. RNAcentral describes it as "bacterial SSU rRNA". It matches the Rfam family "Bacterial small subunit ribosomal RNA", at positions 73 to 699 of the family's 1533-position model. The record is from RNAcentral.